AUUGAACGCUGGCGGCAGGCCUAACACAUGCAAGUCGAACGGUAACAGGAAGCAGCUUGCUGCUUUGCUGACGAGUGGCGGACGGGUGAGUAAUGUCUGGGAAACUGCCCGAUGGAGGGGGAUAACUACUGGAAACGGUAGCUAAUACCGCAUAACGUCGCAAGACCAAAGAGGGGGACCUUAGGGCCUCUUGCCAUCGGAUGUGCCCAGAUGGGAUUAGCUAGUAGGUGGGGUACGGCUCACCUAGGCGACGAUCCCUAGCUGGUCUGAGAGGAUGACCAGCCACACUGGAACUGAGACACGGUCCAGACUCCUACGGGAGGCAGCAGUGGGGAAUAUUGCACAAUGGGCGCAAGCCUGAUGCAGCCAUGCCGCGUGUAUGAAGAAGGCCUUCGGGUUGUAAAGUACUUUCAGCGGGGAGGAAGGGAGUAAAGUUAAUACCUUUGCUCAUUGACGUUACCCGCAGAAGAAGCACCGGCUAACUCCGUG
RNAcentral lists this ribosomal RNA (489 nucleotides) under uncultured bacterium. RNAcentral's name for it is "partial 16S ribosomal RNA". It matches the Rfam family "Bacterial small subunit ribosomal RNA", at positions 30 to 507 of the family's 1533-position model. The record is from RNAcentral.